AGAGUUUGAUCAUGGCUCAGAUUGAACGCUGGCGGCAGGCCUAACACAUGCAAGUCGAACGGUAACAGGAAACAGCUUGCUGUUUCGCUGACGAAGUGGCGGACGGGUGAGUAAUGUCUGGGAAACUGCCUGAUGGAGGGGAUAACUACUGGAAACGGUAGCUAAUACCGCAUAACGUCGCAAGACCAAAGAGAGGGACCUUCGGGCCUCUUGCCAUCAGAUGUGCCCAGAUGGGAUUAGCUAGUGGGUGGGGUAACGGCUCACCAGGCGACGAUCCCUAGCUGGUCUGAGAGGAUGACCAGCCACACUGGAACUGAGACACGGUCCAGACUCCUACGGGAGGCAGCAGUGGGGAAUAUUGCACAAUGGGCGCAAGCCUGAUGCAGCCAUGCCGCGUGUAUGAAGAAGGCCUUCGGGUUGUAAAGUACUUUCAGCGGGGAGAAGGGAGUAAAGUUAAUACCUUUGCUCAUUGACGUUACCCGCAGAAGAAGCACCGGCUAACUCCGUGCCAGCAGCCGCGGUAAUACGGAGGGUGCAAGCGUUAAUCGGAAUUACUGGGCGCCAGCGCACGCAGGCGGUUUGUUAAGUCAGAUGUGAAAUCCCCGGGCUCAACCUGGGAACUGCAUCUGAUACUGGCAAGUUUGAGUCUCGUAGAGGGGGUAGAAUUCCAGGUGUAGCGGUGAAAUGCGUAGAGAUCUGGAGGAAUACCGGUGGCGAAGGCGGCCCCUGGACGAAGACUGACGCUCAGGUGCGAAAGCGUGGGGGAGCAAACAGGAUUAGAUACCCUGGUAGACCACGCCGUAAACGAUGUCGACUUGGAGGUUGUGCCCUUGAGGCGUGGCUUCGGAGCUAACGCGUUAAGUCGACCGCCUGGGAGUACGGCCGCAAGGUUAAAACUCAAAUGAAUUGACGGGGCCCGCACAAGCGGUGGAGCAUGUGGUUUAAUUCGAUGCAACGCGAAGAACCUUACCUGGUCUUGACAUCCACGGAAGUUUUCAGAGAUGAGAAUGUGCCUUCGGGAACCGUGAGACAGGUGCUGCAUGGCUGUCGUCAGCUCGUGUUGUGAAAUGUUGGGUUAAGUCCGCAACGAGCGCAACCCUUAUCCUUUGUUGCCAGCGGUCCGGCCGGGAACUCAAAGGAGACUGCCAGUGAUAAACUGGAGGAAGGUGGGGAUGACGUCAAGUCAUCAUGGCCCUUACGACCAGGGCUACACACGUGCUACAAUGGCGCAUACAAAGAGAAGCGACCUCGCGAGAGCAAGCGGACCUCAUAAAGUGCGUCGUAGUCCGGAUUGAGUCUGCAACUCGACUCCAUGAAGUCGGAAUCGCUAGUAAUCGUGGAUCGGAAUGCCACGGUGAAUACGUUCCCAGGCCUUGUACACACCGCCCGUCACACCAUGGGAGUGGGUUGCAAAAAGAAGUAGGUAGCUUAACCUUCGGAGGCGCUUACCACUUUGUGAUUCAUGACUGGGGUGAAGUCGUAACAAGGUAACCGUAGGGGAACCUGCGGUUG
RNAcentral lists this ribosomal RNA (1512 nucleotides) under metagenome. RNAcentral describes it as "bacterial SSU rRNA". It matches the Rfam family "Bacterial small subunit ribosomal RNA". The record is from RNAcentral.